Molecule: long non-coding RNA, 1421 nt
Organism: Camelus dromedarius (Arabian camel)
Lineage: Eukaryota; Metazoa; Chordata; Mammalia; Artiodactyla; Camelidae
Exons: 4
Source: RefSeq, a predicted model, not a curated record
ACCUGGCGGCCGGGAUGGCACCUUGGGACCUGAGUCUCAGGAGAGGCUGGCUGGGAGGUGCAGGGAGCACGACCAGGUUUAGAUGGUACAGAAGGGGAAACUAAGACUCAGAGAAGGAAAGAAAGAAGCUGCCGUUUUUAGAGAACACAUUAUCAUGUACUUGGUGUUUUACAUCCGUCAUCUCAUUAACUCUUCAAAUGGAAUCCUCCUAGUUCAUGAAAGGGAAACGCUAUCAAUGGGCUUCAAACCUAGACCUCAGGAUUAGCAUUCCAAGAUUCUUCACCACAGCUGCCACCAGGACUGGCUGCUCCAGAGGAUUGAAAAACAGGCUCAGAGAAGGAGAAGAGAUUGCCUAUGUUCACAUGAUGACUCCAUGAUUGAAUUGAGAUUUGAACUUCUGUCUUCUAAGUUUCUGCCUUGGACACUCAAAAGUAACAGACUUUGAAUUACCUUUUGAAAAGAUCCAUUUUUUCAUGUGUAAAAUGGGAGAUGAUGUCCCUUGUGUAAAGGGUCCUUAGGAGAAUUCAGUGGAAUAGCACGUGCAGAGUUCUGGUACACUGACUCAUGAAAUACCCAUUUGUUGGUUAUGACCACCCCACUUGAAGGCAGAAAGAUCACUAGAGGGAGGCAGCUUGCCCUGCAUCUUGGUUUGGAGGGCUCUAAACAUCCUGCCCUCCUAGCUUCAUCCAAUCUCUGAAGAAAAAAAUCUGGACAUUGGCUAUGAGCUGGAGGAGCCUGAACUGUCUCUGUUUUCAAGACAUGCAAUUCUGGGCUCAGACGGUCUCCUAGAACCAGCUUCAGUACUGACCCUAAGGAAAUCUGUGAAGUCGGAGUGAGCAUUCGAUUUUGAGCCCUGGAUUCCAGACUUUUCCGUGACACUGACUCACCCUUGACCUUGAAAGAAUCAAGCAACUUUCUGGACCUCAGUUUCCUCAUCUGGAAAGUAAGAUCGAGCCCCUCCCGCAGAUGUGCCCUUACCUCAUCUAUUUCCCCAUGGCUAAGCCUGGUGAGGAUGACAGGAAAAGAGGAGAAAUGGCAAACAGCUUUGGUGGCGAGAGCUCCCUUUCCAUGACCUGGACAACGGGAGGCCAAAGGAUGCUGAUUAUCGAGCACUUCCGAUAUGCCAGGCACUCGUCACUCACCCCAGGUGCCUCUCCAAUCAAGAGGUACGAGAUCUGAAUUCAAACCCUCAGCUCUGUGGCUGUCUCGCUCUGUGCCCUUGGGCAAAUCCCUCUUUCUCUCCAAGUCUCAGUCCCCUUACCCAGUGCUAUCCAGCCUUGUAGGUUUCAAUGGGUUGAUGUCCAAAACAAAUCAAGAAGCAAACAAAUGUAGAAGGUGGUUCCUGGGACAAUGUGGACAGAUUUGGGGAGUCCUUUGGAGAACAAAGUCCCCCCAGUUCUCCCAGAUGUGCCUCACUCAUC